This 23-nucleotide non-coding RNA is filed under the name Cricetulus griseus (Chinese hamster). Lineage: Eukaryota; Metazoa; Chordata; Mammalia; Rodentia; Cricetidae. The record is from RNAcentral.
UGUGAGAACUUGCAACACAGAUG